AAAAGACCUAGGUUCAAAAAGCCCAAAAUAAACCCUAAGUCCCAAAACUAGGGUUUCAUAUGGUAAAACCUACCAAAUCAUGGAUCAAAGGGUAGAAUCCAAGUACUAACCUCCCAAGAUGCCUCCAAACAAGCUCCAAAUCUUCUAGGGUUGAAGAUUGGUCCACCACCAAGCUCUACAAGCAAGCUCCAAGCCAAGCAAGGGUGGAAAGGAGAGAAACGGGUUGAGCUCCAAGCUCCCUCAAGCAAACUCCUCUUCUUCUUCUCCUCCUUCUCCUCCUUCUUCUUCUUCUCUCUCUAGAAGGUGUUGGGUGAGGGUGAGAAAUGAGGAGGGAAGAGAGGGAAAUGGCUAAUAAACCCAUCUAAUGUAACAAAAUCCAGUGAGGCCCCUCAAAAAUCCAAUAUUGCAACAGCCCGGUCUGGGCAGUUUUCGCCCAGAGGGACCGGUCUCUCCCCAGCAGGGACCGGUCUCUCGCUGCGAAUCCGAAAAACCAGCGUUCGGGAACCGGUCUCUCCCUGCGCGGGACCGGUCUCUCACUGCGUAGACGCGCUCGGGGACCGGUCUCGCCCGCCAGGGACCGGUUGCCUCAAGGCUGCCGCAGUACUGCUCACUGGGGGACCGGUCUCUCCUUCCAGGGACCGGUCCCCGAGAGUAAAAACUCUCAGGACUUAUCAAGAAUUCCGAUUUUCGAACUUUUUAGGUCGAAAAACAUUCUACAACCCUCCACCAAGUGUGGAAAAGCUCGAAAUACACCCAAACACUCGAACCUCGCAAUUUGC
This 779-nucleotide long non-coding RNA is filed under the name Ananas comosus (pineapple). RNAcentral describes it as "long non-coding RNA (ACOM_LNC024420)". The record is from RNAcentral. Lineage: Eukaryota; Viridiplantae; Streptophyta; Magnoliopsida; Poales; Bromeliaceae.